RNAcentral lists this ribosomal RNA (254 nucleotides) under uncultured bacterium. RNAcentral's name for it is "partial 16S ribosomal RNA". It matches the Rfam family "Bacterial small subunit ribosomal RNA", at positions 524 to 776 of the family's 1533-position model. The record is from RNAcentral.
UACGUAGGGUCCGAGCGUUGUCCGGAAUUACUGGGCGUAAAGAGCUCGUAGGCGGCUUGUCGCGUCGGCUGUGAAAACCUGGGGCUCAACCCCGGGCCUGCAGACGAUACGGGCAAGCUAGAAUUCGGUAGGGGAGACUGGAAUUCCCGGUGUAGCGGUGAAAUGCGUAGAGAUCGGGAAGAACACCAAUGGCGAAAGCACUCUGCUGGGCCGAAACUGACACUCAGAGACGAAAGCUAGGGGGAGCGAAUGGG